GUGUCAGCAGCCGCGGUAAAACGUAGGACACGAGCGUUAUCCGGAGUUACUGGGCGUAAAGGGCGUGCAGGCGGUUUUGUAAGUUUGAUGUGAAAGCGCCCGGCUUAACCGGGCGAGGACAUUGGAGACUGCAAGACUAGAGGCAGAUAGAGGGGUGUAGAAUUCCGGGUGUAGUGGUGAAAUGCGUAGAGAUCCGGAGGAAUACCAGAGGCGAAGGCGGCACCCUGGGUCUGACCUGACGCUGAGACGCGACAGCAUGGGGAGCGAACGGGAUUAGAUACCCUCGUAGUCC
Molecule: ribosomal RNA, 292 nt
Filed under: uncultured bacterium
Lineage: Bacteria
Description: partial 16S ribosomal RNA
Rfam family: Bacterial small subunit ribosomal RNA
Source: RNAcentral